ACUCCUACGGGAGGCAGCAGUGGGGAAUUUUGGACAAUGGGCGAAAGCCUGAUCCAGCAAUGCCGCGUGAGUGAAGAAGGCCUUCGGGUUGUAAAGCUCUUUUGUCAGGGAAGAAACGGUGAGAGCUAAUAUCUCUUGCUAAUGACGGUACCUGAAGAAUAAGCACCGGCUAACUACGUGCCAGCAGCCGCGGUAAUACGUAGGGUGCAAGCGUUAAUCGGAAUUACUGGGCGUAAAGCGUGCGCAGGCGGUUUUGUAAGUCUGAUGUGAAAUCCCCGGGCUCAACCUGGGAAUUGCAUUGGAGACUGGAAGGCUAGAAUCUGGCAGAGGGGGGUAGAAUUCCACGUGUAGCAGUGAAAUGCGUAGAUAUGUGGAGGAACACCGAUGGCGAAGGCAGCCCCCUGGGUCAAGAUUGACGCUCAUGCACGAAAGCGUGGGGAGCAAACAGGAUUAGAAACCCUGGUAGUCCC
This 470-nucleotide ribosomal RNA is filed under the name uncultured organism. RNAcentral describes it as "partial 16S ribosomal RNA". It matches the Rfam family "Bacterial small subunit ribosomal RNA", at positions 335 to 797 of the family's 1533-position model. The record is from RNAcentral.